This 898-nucleotide unclassified non-coding RNA is filed under the name Hevea brasiliensis (rubber tree). Lineage: Eukaryota; Viridiplantae; Streptophyta; Magnoliopsida; Malpighiales; Euphorbiaceae. The record is from RNAcentral.
CUGUUCUACGUCCUGUGUCAGUGAAAGCAAAAUGUUCUUCAAACGUUCAAUCAACCCCAGAAAUUGAAAAGAAGUAUGUCCAUGGUGUUUAUGAUGCCAUUGCUCCCCAUUUCAGUUCCACUCGGUUUGCGAAGUGGCCUAAAGUGUCAGCUUUCUUAAGCUCAUUAUCUCCCGGUUCUCUCAUCUUAGACUCUGGUUGUGGAAAUGGGAAAUACUUAGGAUUAAAUCCUGAUUGUUUCUUCAUUGGCUGUGACAUUAGUGCGGCUCUUAUUAAUAUAUGUGCAGAUAAAGAGCAGGAAGUUUUGGUUGCAGAUGCUGUGAACCUACCAUAUAGGACGGGUUAUGGUGAUGCAGCAAUUUCUAUAGCUGUGUUGCAUCACCUUAGUACUGAAAGUAGGAGGAGGAAAGCGGUAGAGGAGCUUGUCCGUGUUGUUAAAAAGGGCGGGUGUGUUUUAAUUACUGUCUGGGCUAGGGAGCAAGAAGACAGUUCGUUGAUUGAAAAGUGGACUCCACUUAACCAAAGGUAUGUAGAGGAAUGGAUAGGACCAGGGAGUCCUCGAGUUCGCAACCCUUCAUCUCCUCGUAUCCUUGAAAGCAUCCCAGAAGCAGAGGAAAAUAGUGCCGUGGAGCAGUUGAAAGGUCUACAUGCAAACUCUUCUAAAGUAAAAUCAGCUGAAGUUAUGCACCCAACAUCUCUGGAUGAAGGUCAUUCUUUGCCUACUGGAUCUGGAAAAGGUUAUUUAGAGCAGCAGGAAUUUUUCGUUCCCUGGCACUUACCUUAUCAUCGAGCUGAAGUUAGUGGGGCUUCAGCUGUUGCCUUGGCUAGUGGUUUGGCAAAGAAAGAUGAUAAGAAGGGCUCUGUGGUAUACAAUAGAUAUUACCAUGUUUUUAGUGAAGG